This 432-nucleotide ribosomal RNA is filed under the name Flavobacterium sp. RNAcentral describes it as "bacterial SSU rRNA". It matches the Rfam family "Bacterial small subunit ribosomal RNA", at positions 419 to 854 of the family's 1533-position model. Lineage: Bacteria; Pseudomonadati; Bacteroidota; Flavobacteriia; Flavobacteriales; Flavobacteriaceae. The record is from RNAcentral.
UGGAUUGUAAACUGCUUUUAUACGAGAAGAAACACUGCUUCGUGAAGCAGCUUGACGGUAUCGUAAGAAUAAGGAUCGGCUAACUCCGUGCCAGCAGCCGCGGUAAUACGGAGGAUCCAAGCGUUAUCCGGAAUCAUUGGGUUUAAAGGGUCCGUAGGCGGUUUAAUAAGUCAGUGGUGAAAGCCCAUCGCUCAACGGUGGAACGGCCAUUGAUACUGUUAAACUUGAAUUAUUAGGAAGUAACUAGAAUAUGUAGUGUAGCGGUGAAAUGCUUAGAGAUUACAUGGAAUACCAAUUGCGAAGGCAGGUUACUACUAAUGGAUUGACGCUGAUGGACGAAAGCGUGGGUAGCGAACAGGAUUAGAUACCCUGGUAGUCCACGCCGUAAACGAUGGAUACUAGCUGUUGGAAGCAAUUUCAGUGGCUAAGCGA